UUUUCUCCCAUUUUUUUUUACUUCAUUCUUUAAAAAGUCGAGAAGAAAGGAGGAAGGCUCCGCAUACUUAAAUUGAAAAAAAAGGGU
RNAcentral lists this non-coding RNA (87 nucleotides) under Alexandrium tamarense. The record is from RNAcentral. Lineage: Eukaryota; Dinophyceae; Gonyaulacales; Pyrocystaceae.